RNAcentral lists this ribosomal RNA (253 nucleotides) under uncultured bacterium. RNAcentral describes it as "partial 16S ribosomal RNA". It matches the Rfam family "Bacterial small subunit ribosomal RNA", at positions 524 to 776 of the family's 1533-position model. The record is from RNAcentral.
UACAGAGGGGGCAAGCGUUGUUCGGAAUUACUGGGCGUAAAGCGCGCGUAGGCGGCCGCCUAAGUCAGACGUGAAAUCCCUCGGCUCAACCGGGGAACUGCGUCUGAUACUGGGUGGCUUGAAUCCGGGAGAGGGAUGCGGAAUUCCAGGUGUAGCGGUGAAAUGCGUAGAUAUCUGGAGGAACACCGGUGGCGAAGGCGGCAUCCUGGACCGGUAUUGACGCUGAGGCGCGAAAGCCAGGGGAGCAAACGGG